UGGGGAAUAUUGGACAAUGGGCGCAAGCCUGAUCCAGCAAUGCCGCGUGUGUGAAGAAGGCCCUCGGGUUGUAAAGCACUUUUAUCAGGAGCGAAAUCUGCCCGGUUAAUACCUGGGUAGUCUGACGGUACCUGAGGAAUAAGCACCGGCUAACUCCGUGCCAGCAGCCGCGGUAAUACGGAGGGUGCAAGCGUUAAUCGGAAUUACUGGGCGUAAAGGGUGCGUAGGCGGUUGUUUAAGUCUGUUGUGAAAUCCCCGGGCUCAACCUGGGAAUGGCAAUGGAUACUGGGCAGCUAGAGUGUGUCAGAGGAUGGUGGAAUUCCCGGUGUAGCGGUGAAAUGCGUAGAGAUCGGGAGGAACAUCAGUGGCGAAGGCGGCCAUCUGGGACAACACUGACGCUGAAGCACGAAAGCGUGGGGAGCAAACAGGAUUAGAUACCCCCGUAGUCC
Molecule: ribosomal RNA, 449 nt
Filed under: uncultured bacterium
Lineage: Bacteria
Description: bacterial SSU rRNA
Rfam family: Bacterial small subunit ribosomal RNA
Source: RNAcentral